ACACCUCAACUCUCAUGGUUUGCCGUGAUGAGCUUGGACUUUGGAGGUUUUGCUGGCCCAUGGUCGGCUCCUCUCAAACAGAUUAGCUUGCCAGUUUUCGGUGGCGUGACAGGUGUGAUAACUAUCUACGCUCGUGGUCGUCUGCUGGUUAACCUUUCGGUGACGGAGGUUUGCUGGAGCUUAUAAAUGUCUCUCCUCAGCGAAGACAGCUAUUUGAAC
This 219-nucleotide unclassified non-coding RNA is filed under the name uncultured Tomentella. Its description in RNAcentral is "sequence contains ITS2". Lineage: Eukaryota; Fungi; Basidiomycota; Agaricomycetes; Thelephorales; Thelephoraceae. The record is from RNAcentral.